GACGAACGCUGGCGGCGUGCUUAACACAUGCAAGUCGAACGGAAAGGCCUGCUUUCCCUUGUGGAUUGCGGGUACUCGAGUGGCGAACGGGUGAGUAACACGUGAGUGAUCUGCCCCCAACUUGGGUAUAAGCCUGGGAAACUGGGUCUAAUUCCCGAUAGGACUGCAGGGUGGUGCCUGUGGUGGAACACGAUUUUCUAGUGGUUGGGGAUGAGCUCGCGGCCUAUCAGCUUGUUGGUGGGGUAAUGGCCUACCAAGGCGGCGACGGGUAGCCGGCCUGAGAGGGUGGACGGCCACAUUGGGACUGAGAUACGGCCCAGACUCCUAGGGGAGGCAGCAGUGGGGAAUAUUACACAAUGGGCGGAAGCCUGAUGCAGCGACGCAGCGUGGGGGAUGACGGCCUUCGGGUGGUAAACUCCUUUCGACCGCGAGGAAGCCACCUGGUUGGAAGGGUGGUGACGGUAGUGGUAGAAGAAGCACCGGCUAACUACGUG
RNAcentral lists this ribosomal RNA (494 nucleotides) under uncultured bacterium. RNAcentral's name for it is "partial 16S ribosomal RNA". It matches the Rfam family "Bacterial small subunit ribosomal RNA", at positions 28 to 507 of the family's 1533-position model. The record is from RNAcentral.